AAUGAAGGGAAUCAAA
RNAcentral lists this small RNA (16 nucleotides) under Arabidopsis thaliana (thale cress). Its description in RNAcentral is "ATSL299450". Lineage: Eukaryota; Viridiplantae; Streptophyta; Magnoliopsida; Brassicales; Brassicaceae. The record is from RNAcentral.